AUGGACGGGCCCGUAGAGGAUCCCUUCCUCCUCCUUUCGCCGGAGCUCGUCGAGGAGGUCCUCCUCCGCCUUCCGCCGGAGGAGCCCGCCUGGCUCGUCCGCGCCUCCGCCGUCCGCAAGCCCUGGCGCCGCAUCCUCGCCAACGACGGCUUUCGCGGCCGCUACCGCGAGUUCCACGGAGCACCUCCGGUCCUCGGGAUCGUCCAAGAGGACGCCAGCUUCCUCCCCAUAUCGGCGCUCCCUGCCCAUCCUGUGCGCCCCCGCUGGGCUAAAGUGAAGGCCCUGGACUGCCGCCACGGCCGCUACCUAUUCGAGUCCUACAGCAGGUACUUCGGGGAAGGGGAGCCCGUUUACAUAACCAUCGCGGACCCUCUGACGGGCCACGAGCUCCGCCUGCGCACACCGGUGGACGACGGCGUGCUCUGGUUCAGCGCGGCGGUGCUCUGCGCCGCACAAGGCUGCGACCACCACGGUUGCCAGGGAGGGCAUUUCCGUGUGGUCAUCCUGACCACCAAUCAUCAGAAGAAAGUCACAUCGGGAUGGAUGUACUCGUCGGAGACUCGUGUGUGGAGCGACCUCACCUCAGCUCAUCACCCCAAUAUCACCAAGUAUACCUUUAACCGUGGUUCGCCAAGCGUCCUUGUGGGUGAUGCACUCUACUUUGACUUGGAUGGCAUUAUCGAGUGCCAACUUGGUACUCUAAACUUGUCAAUGUUUGAGAGGCCGACCGAUGCCAAAGGGCGUCUUAUGACGGUGGAAGACGGCGGGCUGGGAUUCGCUGCCGUGGUUGAUGUUACAAAUCUAGCCAUUUGGUCAAUGCAGACCGGACCAGAGGGAGCCAUGGGAUGGGGAAAACUCAGGGUAAUCGAUCUUACGACGCUGCUCCCUGACACGGCCCUUUCCAUCCCAGCACCUGAAGAUGGAAUUAGUGGCAUCGCCGAAGGCACCCAAAUCAUUUUUGUGAGCAUGUGUGAUCGUAAUGGUACUUAUAUGGUCGAUCUCAAGUCAAGGCGAGUUAGGAAGGUAUCUGAUCCUGGCAGAAAAGUCUUUCCCUACAUGAGAUUCUACAUCCCAGCAAUGGAAGCAGCUUCUAUGGGCCAGGGGCAGUGA
Molecule: ribosomal RNA, 1110 nt
Filed under: Triticum aestivum (bread wheat)
Lineage: Eukaryota; Viridiplantae; Streptophyta; Magnoliopsida; Poales; Poaceae
Description: partial small subunit ribosomal RNA
Source: RNAcentral